Molecule: long non-coding RNA, 813 nt
Organism: Lolium perenne
Lineage: Eukaryota; Viridiplantae; Streptophyta; Magnoliopsida; Poales; Poaceae
Source: RefSeq, a predicted model, not a curated record
ACCAAUCUGAAGGGGAAGCCGCCGCCGGCCGCUGCGCCGCCCACCCCACGUCUCCCUCUCUUUCGAACGGAAGAGAGGCCGACAUCGCUGCCGGCCGAAUUGACCACGGUGAUGUGACACGGCUGUGGCACCGCGGGGCUUUACUGGAAACUAGAAGAUGUAUUCAUAUUUAUUCCAAAGAUUUAGGAUGGGAAAAGAGGGAAAAGAAACGUGUUGCCUUGAUUUUAUGGUGUCGAGGAUUAUUGUCCCCCAUAUCAUAUUCUAUAAAUAGAAACACAGCCUUGUGAAAAAGAAUUAUGCAGCUUCGAGAAGGGAAAAGUGGAUCCAUGGAGUCCAUAUCUGCUGCAAUGCCGAAACCUUGACGGCUGAUCUGAGUUCGGCGGAUUGCUGGUUGUAUCGCCCGCAUGUUGCAAUGGCGGCAACGGGCUAUCUCUUAUAGGUUAUAAGUAGAUCUUCCCCUAAUAAAAAAUACCCAUACACAAUCAUGUUGCCAAUCAUAUAGCCGGUUGCACGAAGGUGAAGUGUUUCGGUGACCUCUUUUGAAGCUGCUGAGAUGUUCCUCUCCAAUCCUCAAUCUGCCGCUCAUACUGCUGUGACCGGCAAUAUCCUUAUGUGGUUAACCUUCUUUGAGAGGCACGAGCUUCUUGUUAAUGCAUUUUUGUAUAGAAAUAUUUUUGUGCUUAUGGAUAAUCAUGCAUGUAUGUUGUUAUUUGAGAUAGAGUUAAAGAUGGUCUCAUAUUAACUUAUCUUUUGAUGUAAUGGCUAAAUUGUUAUUUUUUUGACAUUGGAUAAUUAACUGUGAUUAUUGUUUGU